UGAGGAAUAUUGGUCAAUGGGCGCAAGCCUGAACCAGCCAAGUCGCGUGAGGGAAGACGGUCCUAUGGAUUGUAAACCUCUUUUGUCGGGGAGCAAAGCGCGGUACGAGUACCGCGAAGGAGAGUA
This 126-nucleotide ribosomal RNA is filed under the name uncultured bacterium. Its description in RNAcentral is "partial 16S ribosomal RNA". It matches the Rfam family "Bacterial small subunit ribosomal RNA", at positions 355 to 477 of the family's 1533-position model. The record is from RNAcentral.